UACGGAGGGUGCAAGCGUUGUUCGGAAUCACUGGGCGUAAAGGGCGCGUAGGCGGUUUGAUAAGUCAGAUGUGAAAGCCCACGGCUUAACUGUGGAAGUGCAUUUGAAACUGUCAGACUUGAGUAUCGGAGGGGAAAGUGGAAUUCCCGGUGUAGAGGUGAAAUUCGUAGAUAUCGGGAGGAAUACCGGUGGCGAAGGCGACUUUCUGGCUGAAUACUGACGCUGAGGCGCGAAAGCGUGGGGAGCAAACAGG
Molecule: ribosomal RNA, 253 nt
Filed under: uncultured bacterium
Lineage: Bacteria
Description: partial 16S ribosomal RNA
Rfam family: Bacterial small subunit ribosomal RNA
Source: RNAcentral